This 586-nucleotide ribosomal RNA is filed under the name Staphylococcus aureus. RNAcentral's name for it is "partial 23S ribosomal RNA". It matches the Rfam family "Bacterial large subunit ribosomal RNA", at positions 1290 to 1872 of the family's 2925-position model. Lineage: Bacteria; Bacillati; Bacillota; Bacilli; Caryophanales; Staphylococcaceae. The record is from RNAcentral.
GAGAAUGCCGGUGUGAGUAGCGAAAGACGGGUGAGAAUCCCGUCCACCGAUUGACUAAGGUUUCCAGAGGAAGGCUCGUCCGCUCUGGGUUAGUCGGGUCCUAAGCUGAGGCCGACAGGCGUAGGCGAUGGAUAACAGGUUGAUAUUCCUGUACCACCUAUAAUCGUUUUAAUCGAUGGGGGGACGCAGUAGGAUAGGCGAAGCGUGCGAUUGGAUUGCACGUCUAAGCAGUAAGGCUGAGUAUUAGGCAAAUCCGGUACUCGUUAAGGCUGAGCUGUGAUGGGGAGAAGACAUUGUGUCUUCGAGUCGUUGAUUUCACACUGCCGAGAAAAGCCUCUAGAUAGAAAAUAGGUGCCCGUACCGCAAACCGACACAGGUAGUCAAGAUGAGAAUUCUAAGGUGAGCGAGCGAACUCUCGUUAAGGAACUCGGCAAAAUGACCCCGUAACUUCGGGAGAAGGGGUGCUCUUUAGGGUUAACGCCCAGAAGAGCCGCAGUGAAUAGGCCCAAGCGACUGUUUAUCAAAAACACAGGUCUCUGCUAAACCGUAAGGUGAUGUAUAGGGGCUGACGCCUGCCCGGUGCUGG